Molecule: ribosomal RNA, 173 nt
Filed under: uncultured bacterium
Lineage: Bacteria
Description: partial 16S ribosomal RNA
Rfam family: Bacterial small subunit ribosomal RNA
Source: RNAcentral
AUGAAGCUGGAUUCGCUAGUAAUCGCGCAUCAGCCACGGCGCGGUGAAUACGUUCCCGGGCCUUGUACACACCGCCCGUCAAGCCAUGGGAGCCGGGAGUGCCUGAAGUACGUGACCGCAAGGAGCGUCCUAGGGUAAGACCGGUGACUGGGGCUAAGUCGUAACAAGGUAGC